AGCGGGAGGCGGCGCAGGCCGCGGCGGGGCCUGCAGCGGCCGCCGACCCCGCAACGCGGGGGAGAGAGCCCUGGAGCGGCUCCGCCUCGGGCUCGGCUGCUGGGGGCGUCCCCUCAGCUACUUACCGGGGGAGAAGAGAGCCGGGAUCCCGGGACCCGGGGCUGGACCGCGGAGAUGCCCCAAACUGACACGGCCGCCAUCUUGGAGACAGUGCUGGACCUACAAACUCAAUAUCCUGAUACUGAGAUCGGUAACCCCUCAUCUAUUUCCAAAAUCAGAAGAGAAAUCUGGAGAUACAAGAUAAUUAUUAUAAAGCAAGGACUUCUGGGAAGAUGGCAGAGUGGUGAACAGCAGAGAAACAGCCUCUCCAAGAUCUGGUGUCCAGACCCUGGAAUACAAUGUGAGGAAGAGAAGAAAAAGGGAAAUGGAUCCCUGGGACCCAGCAAGGAUCAGAAGCAAGAAUUGAAGCCCACAGGGAGAUCAAGGAAAGAGACUUCAGUGAAGAAGGUGGUGGCAAGAGGUACUUUCUCCCUGAUCCCUGACUGACUUCAUGGGAAAGGUGGCUCAAACCUGCAGAUGCACAGAG
This 586-nucleotide long non-coding RNA is filed under the name Heterocephalus glaber (naked mole-rat). RNAcentral's name for it is "lncRNA (ENSHGLG00100045443.1)". Lineage: Eukaryota; Metazoa; Chordata; Mammalia; Rodentia; Bathyergidae. The record is from RNAcentral.